CCCGGCGAUGUCCCGCCUCCCUGGUCUCCCUCCAGUCGCUGCGCAGUAUCCGUCUCGGCGUGUCCCGGCCACGGGAAAACCGACAGCCAAUCAGAAGGCUCUAUUUGUUCCUGCGCUGACAAACUGCCUGGGAGCCCCUCCUCCCCUUCAAUCAGUGGUGAACCAGGUGGAACAAAUCUUCCAGGCAAUCUGAGCGUGCCAGUAGCUGGCUCUGUUGUUGUCUUUAGACCGCAGUGGAAGGAGCAUUUAUAGCACCACAAAACCAAGGAAACUUGAUCUUUGUCAUUAAAGUGAUUGUGCAAGACCAAGCCCCCCACAAAACUGAAGGACAGCCGGUUUUUCAACUGCUUACUGCCCACCAAAGAUUGGUUAAUAAAAGACAAACAACUGAUCCCAUGGCUGUUGAGUGAAAUCCAGUUAAUAUCUUACCAAUUUCAUAGUAUCAAACUUUUGCGCAUCCAAUGAGAGACGCGGAUUUGUUCCAAAUUCUCAAUGUCCCGCCUCCAUUCUGCUGGUUUACCGCUGCGCGAGGGGCUCCACAUCUCUGGAGUCCUUCCACCUCAACGGGUUCAUCCCAGGGACCCGAGCUAAAGCGAAGCAUUUCCAGGCGUUCCUGGCCGAUGGACUGGUGAGGUGGAAUGAGGACCGCGCAGCUGCACCACCGACUGCAGCUGAGGGCCAGGGGAGCUCAUCGGCAUGGAGUUCCUGUACCAGCAGACGGGCAGAGUGCUUGAGGAUAUCAGCUUUGGACCCUGACACUCCGGACGAGGCCACUGCCGUUGAGUCGCUCGAGGAGGCCGUGGACGAGGGUUUCAAAGACUAUGUGAAGGACCCCACCGUCUUCGAGCCUGAUAUGGUGGCAGCAGCGGGUCAGGUGAUCCAGCUGACCCUCCCAGACUCCGGGUGAGGCAGCCCAAGGGGCGGUUCAAGGCAGCGAAGGGGAAGAAGUCCCAGUGGUUCUCUCGGCGCCAGAAGAGGGAGAGGUCUGUGCUGGAGCAGGGAACUGGCGUCGUCCUUGCUCCAGCUGUUGCUGACCAUACACUCCCUCCAGUUAAAGGGCUGUCCUCUGUGCAGGUGGGACAAGGACAGCCCUUUAACUACGACAUCCCCGACGAGGAGUAGACGGGAACAUCCAGCAGUUGGCCUCCUGCUCCUCCUCCGGGUGGCCUUCUCCCUGCUCCUGUUCCUCCUCCAGCGCCGCUCCCGGGUGGCACAGUCACAUCGGCCCCUGCUGUUCAGCCUCCUCCUCUUCCUGGAGCCCUGCGUGUGCCCAGGACAACGGCAUACAGGAAGAGGAAGGCUGCCGAGGCUGCUGCUGCAGCAGGGGUCUCGCAGCGAUAUCGCAGUACACCUGCAGCAGGUGUGGCCACCCCAAAAGGCUCAACACUGGCCACACCCGCAUCGCAGGUGUGUCAUACUGCGCGGCUGCCAGCGGGCAAACUUUGGAGGGAGGAGAUGAGGAGGCAGCGAGCAGAGGACCAAGGAAAGGGACAAUAGGGGACUUUUUUUUUUUUUUUAUCAUGAUUUAUUUAUUAUAUAUUUAUUCUGCUGCUAAAUGCUCCACAAUGUUCACCAGCCUGUCUGUUUCAAAUAAAAGAAUAAACGUGCACUU
Micropterus salmoides (largemouth bass) is the source of this 1612-nucleotide long non-coding RNA. RefSeq lists it as uncharacterized. The transcript has 5 exons. Lineage: Eukaryota; Metazoa; Chordata; Actinopteri; Centrarchiformes; Centrarchidae. The record is from RefSeq and is a predicted model, not a curated record.